AACGAACGCUGGCGGCAUGCCUAACACAUGCAAGUCGAACGAGACCUUCGGGUCUAGUGGCGCACGGGUGCGUAACGCGUGGGAACCUGCCCUUAGGUUCGGAAUAACUCCCCGAAAGGGGUGCUAAUACCGGAUAAUGUCUUCGGACCAAAGAUUUAUCGCCUUUGGAUGGGCCCGCGUUGGAUUAGCUAGUUGGUAGGGUAAAAGCCUACCAAGGCGACGAUCCAUAGCUGGUCUGGGAGGAUGAUCAGCCACACUGGGGAUGAGACACGGCCCAGACUCCUACGGGAGGGAGCAGUGGGGAAUAUUGGACAAUGGGCGAAAGCCUGAUCCAGCAAUGCCGCGUGAGUGAUGAAGGCCUUAGGGUUGUAAAGCUCUUUUACCCGGGAUGAUAAUGACAGUACCGGGAGAAUAAGCUCCGGCUAACUCCGUG
Molecule: ribosomal RNA, 433 nt
Filed under: uncultured bacterium
Lineage: Bacteria
Description: partial 16S ribosomal RNA
Rfam family: Bacterial small subunit ribosomal RNA
Source: RNAcentral